UUAAGCCCCAGUAAACGGCGGUGGUAACUAUAACCAUCCUAAGGUAGCGAAAUUCCUUGUCGGGUAAGUUCCGACCUGCACGAAUGGCGUAACGACUUCCCAACUGUCUCAACCGCGAACUCGGCGAAAUUGCACUACGAGUAAAGAUGCUCGUUACGCGCAGCAGGACGGAAAGACCCCGUGACCUUUACUACAGCUUGGUAUUGGUGUUCGGUGUGGCUUGUGUAGGAUAGGUGGGAGACUUUGAAGCAGGGACGCCAGUUCUUGUGGAGUCGUUGUUGAAAUACCACUCUGGUCACUCUGGAUGUCUAACUUAGAACCGUAAUCCGGUUCAGGGACAGUGCCUGGUGGGUAGUUUAACUGGGGCGGUUGCCUCCCAAAAAGUAACGGAGGCGCCCAAAGGUUCCCUCAACCUGGUUGGCAAUCAGGUGGCGAGUGUAAGUGCACAAGGGAGCUUGACUGUGAGACUGACAGGUCGAGCAGGGACGAAAGUCGGGACUAGUGAUCCGGCAGUGGCUUGUGGAAGCGCUGUCGCUCAACGGAUAAAAGGUACCUCGGGGAUAACAGGCUGAUCUUGCCCAAGAGUCCAUAUCGACGGCAUUGUUUGGCACCUCGAUGUCGGCUCGUCGCAUCCUGGGGCUGGAGUAGGUCCCAAGGGUUGGGCUGUUCGCCCAUUAAAGCGGUACGCGAGCUGGGUUUAGAACGUCGUGAGACAGUUCGGUCCCUAUCCGCUGCGCGCGUAGGAAGUUUGAGAGGAUCUGACCCUAGUACGAGAGGACCGGGUUGGACGAACCUCUGGUGUGUCAGUUGUUCCGCCAGGAGCACCGCUGAUUAGCUACGUUCGGGAUGGAUAACCGCUGAAAGCAUCUAAGCGGGAAGCCGGCCUCAAGAUGAGACUUCCAUGCCUACGGGCGAGAGGCUCCCAGCAGACUACUGGGUUGAUAGGCCAGAUGUGGAAGCGUGGUAACACGUGCAGCUGACUGGUACUAAUAAGCCGAUGACUUGAUAACACACC
Molecule: ribosomal RNA, 1015 nt
Filed under: Microbacterium sp.
Lineage: Bacteria; Bacillati; Actinomycetota; Actinomycetes; Micrococcales; Microbacteriaceae
Description: bacterial LSU rRNA
Rfam family: Bacterial large subunit ribosomal RNA
Source: RNAcentral